AGACUUCACCCAGACUCCUACGGGAGUCAGACUCCGUCCACAACGCCAAGGAAGACUUCACCCAGACUCCUACGGGAGUCGGGCUCCGUCCACAAUGCCAAGGAAGACUCCCCCCGGACUCCAGGCUCUACCCGGACUCCUACGGGAGCCGAGCUCCACCCGCGACUUCUGCAGCAAGGGCUGAUGGUGACGAAACCCAGCCGCCCAACAAGAUCGGAUGAAAGAAAAAAGCC
Molecule: long non-coding RNA, 233 nt
Filed under: Elaeis guineensis (African oil palm)
Lineage: Eukaryota; Viridiplantae; Streptophyta; Magnoliopsida; Arecales; Arecaceae
Description: long non-coding RNA (EGUI_LNC061790)
Source: RNAcentral